AACGAACGCUGGCGGCAGGCCUAACACAUGCAAGUCGAGCGCACCCUUCGGGGUGAGCGGCGGACGGGUGAGUAACGCGUGGGAACGUGCCCUUCUCUGCGGAAUAGCCUCGGGAAACUGAGAGUAAUACCGCAUACGCCCUUUGGGGGAAAGAUUUAUCGGAGAAGGAUCGGCCCGCGUUGGAUUAGGUAGUUGGUGGGGUAAUGGCCCACCAAGCCGACGAUCCAUAGCUGGUUUGAGAGAAUGAUCAGCCACACUGGGACUGAGACACGGCCCAGACUCCUACGGGAGGCAGCAGUGGGGAAUCUUAGACAAUGGGGGCAACCCUGAUCUAGCCAUGCCGCGUGAGUGAUGAAGGCCUUAGGGUUGUAAAGCUCUUUCAGCUGGGAAGAUAAUGACGGUACCAGCAGAAGAAGCCCCGGCUAACUCCGUG
This 433-nucleotide ribosomal RNA is filed under the name uncultured bacterium. RNAcentral's name for it is "partial 16S ribosomal RNA". It matches the Rfam family "Bacterial small subunit ribosomal RNA", at positions 29 to 507 of the family's 1533-position model. The record is from RNAcentral.